This 453-nucleotide ribosomal RNA is filed under the name uncultured Bacteroides sp. Its description in RNAcentral is "partial 16S ribosomal RNA". It matches the Rfam family "Bacterial small subunit ribosomal RNA", at positions 341 to 792 of the family's 1533-position model. The record is from RNAcentral. Lineage: Bacteria; Pseudomonadati; Bacteroidota; Bacteroidia; Bacteroidales; Bacteroidaceae.
ACGGGAGGCAGCAGUGAGGAAUAUUGGUCAAUGGGCGGAAGCCUGAACCAGCCAAGUCGCGUGAGGGAAGACGGCCCUACGGGUUGUAAACCUCUUUUGCGCGGGGGUAAAGUCGGGGACGUGUCCCCGAUUGCAAGUACCGCGCGAAUAAGGAUCGGCUAACUCCGUGCCAGCAGCCGCGGUAAUACGGAGGAUCCGAGUGUUAUCCGGAUUUAUUGGGUUUAAAGGGAGCGCAGGCGGAGAAGCAAGCCAGCCGUAAAAUCGUUGAGCUCAACUCAAUCUCGCGGUUGGAACUGCUUCCCUUGAGUGCACGAGAGGAUGGUGGAAUUCGUGGUGUAGCGGUGAAAUGCAUAGAUAUCACGAAGAACUCCGAUUGCGAAGGCAGCCAUCUGGCGUGUUACUGACGCUCAUGCUCGAAGGCGCGGGUAUCAAACAGGAUUAGAUACCCUGGUA